GACGAACGCUGGCGGCGUGCUUGACACAUGCAAGUCGAACGGAAAGGCCUGCUUUCCCUUGUGGAUUGCGGGUACUCGAGUGGCGAACGGGUGAGUAACACGUGAGUGAUCUGCCCCCAACUUGGGUAUAAGCCUGGGAAACUGGGUCUAAUUCCCGAUAGGACUGCAGGGUGGUGCCUGUGGUGGAAAACGAUUUUCUAGUGGUUGGGGAUGAGCUCGCGGCCUAUCAGCUUGUUGGUGGGGUAAUGGCCUACCAAGGCGGCGACGGGUAGCCGGCCUGAGAGGGUGGACGGCCACAUUGGGACUGAGAUACGACCCAGACUCCUACGGGAGGCAGCAGUGGGGAAUAUUGCACAAUGGGCGGAAGCCUGAUGCAGCGACGCCGCGUGGGGGAUGACGGCCUUCGGGUUGUAAACUCCUUUCGACCGCGAGGAAGCCACCUGGUUGGAAGGGUGGUGACGGUAGUGGUAGAAGAAGCACCGGCUAACUACGUG
RNAcentral lists this ribosomal RNA (494 nucleotides) under uncultured bacterium. RNAcentral's name for it is "partial 16S ribosomal RNA". It matches the Rfam family "Bacterial small subunit ribosomal RNA", at positions 28 to 507 of the family's 1533-position model. The record is from RNAcentral.